RNAcentral lists this ribosomal RNA (694 nucleotides) under Fecampia abyssicola. RNAcentral describes it as "SSU rRNA". It matches the Rfam family "Eukaryotic small subunit ribosomal RNA", at positions 428 to 1126 of the family's 1831-position model. Lineage: Eukaryota; Metazoa; Platyhelminthes; Fecampiida; Fecampiidae. The record is from RNAcentral.
GCAGGCGCGUAAUUACCCACUCCCAGAUCGGGGAGGUAGUGACGAAAAAUAACGAUGCGGGACUCUUUAGAGGCCCCGUAAUUGGAAUGAGUACACUUUAAAUCCGUUAACGAGUAUCAAUUGGAGGGCAAGUCUGGUGCCAGCAGCCGCGGUAAUUCCAGCUCCAAUAGCGUAUAUUAAAGUUGUUGCAGUUAAAAAGCUCGUAGUUGGAUCUAAGGACUCGAAGCUUGCGUGCAUCUUUGAUGUUACGGAAGUUUUGGCCUACAUCGUCGUUGCAUGCAUUUGAUGAUCUUUACCGAUUGUCUUUUGUAGCCGACAAGUUUACUUUGAAAAAAUUAGAGUGCUUAAAGCAGGCAAGUGCCUGAAUACUGUUGCAUGGAAUAAUGAAAUAGGACUUUGUUUCUAUUUUAUUGGUUUUAGGAAACGAAGUAAUGAUUAACAGGGACAGACGGGGGCAUUUGUAUGCCGGCGUUAGAGGUGAAAUUCUUAGACCGCCGGCAGACAAUCAACUGCGAAAGCAUUUGCCAAGAAUGUCUUCAUUAAUCAAGAACGAAAGUCAGAGGUUCGAAGACGAUCAGAUACCGUCCUAGUUCUGACCAUAAACUAUGCCAACUGACGAUUCGUGAUGGUAUAUAAAUCUUCCACGCGAGCAGUCACCGGGAAACCGAAAGUUUUUUGGUUCCGGGGGAAGUAU